GCCUACUCACAUCCCUGGGUUUCAGUCCUGCCCCACAAGCGAGCAGCUGACACAGGAUACGGUGGGUAAGGAAGGCUAACACCUCAGGGUGGAAUUAGCUGUCACUUCUAAAGGAUGAAAGCGUGAUUGGCAAGCGUGAAUGCCUCAGCUAUCAGCCUACAUCGGGAUCUGAGAAGGAUGGACUUGGGGUAGCCUGAGUGUGAAGAUGGAGAUUCAGCCUGGUGUGGAAGGAAGCUGAGGACACCUCCACAUGCCUUUGUUCUCCUAGGAGAGGGUUUAAGCUUGUGAUCCUGGACGAAGCUGACGCCAUGACUCAAGAUGCCCAGAAUGCCUUGAGACGAG
RNAcentral lists this long non-coding RNA (342 nucleotides) under Rattus norvegicus (Norway rat). Its description in RNAcentral is "long non-coding RNA NONRATT007585". Lineage: Eukaryota; Metazoa; Chordata; Mammalia; Rodentia; Muridae. The record is from RNAcentral.